Molecule: non-coding RNA, 244 nt
Organism: Paramuricea clavata
Lineage: Eukaryota; Metazoa; Cnidaria; Anthozoa; Malacalcyonacea; Plexauridae
Source: the annotation of a GenBank genome assembly
GAAAUGAAACUACAGAUCUUCUGAAAGACUUCCAAACUUAUCAGGAUCGAUUUGAAGUAGUCAAAGAUGUGAUCCAGCACGAGAAUCAUACUGAAGCACUUGAUCAGGCAGUAGAACAUAUUGCAAGUGAGGAAUUUGGUAACAUAGUUGCUCCAAAUGCUGAGUAUUGAGAUGAACAAGAUAAAGAAGUUGUCCCAAAAGUGAGUGAAUUAUUUGGAUGUUUUGAUCCAGGAAAAGAUAAAUA